Molecule: long non-coding RNA, 1322 nt
Organism: Zea mays
Lineage: Eukaryota; Viridiplantae; Streptophyta; Magnoliopsida; Poales; Poaceae
Exons: 2
Source: RefSeq, a predicted model, not a curated record
UUCACGUGAGAGUUCACUUCAAAAAUUUGUAGUCUAUUUCAGCUUCUCUAUCAAACAGAUCCAGCUUCACGAGCUCUAAGUUUAGAAAAACUGAAAUUAGCGCUCUCACUUUAAGAAUUUGAAGUCCAUUUCAGUUUCUUCUAUCCAAACAGUCCAGCUCUAGUUCAAAAAAACUGAAAUUAGCAGCCAGUCUCAUAAAAUUUUAAAACUUCUCUAAAGGUGCUUUGAAAACACCUCAUAAAGUUGCAUAAAAAUUACCCACCAUGUCAUUAGUUACAUGAUCUACCGAUUCAUGUCUCUAGUCAUUAAGGAUAAUUAAGAAAAAUCGCACAAAUUAAUUGUAUUAUAGAAGCUGAAGUCUACGUGUAAGCCAAAUACUCUUAAACCUUGCCUUACCAAUUUGUUGAAGUUGUUUCACUUUCAUGGUGAAGCUAGAAAAUCGAAGUUGUAAUUUUUGAAGUGAAGCCCUUCCAAACAGGGCCUUAAAUUUGGGUUUGUUGCAGCUAUUACAGCACUUAGUGCAAAAUUUAACUGCUACAUCUUCAGUCAAGCAUUUUAAAACUAAAACGUGGGAUUGGUUCUAGAAACAUAUGAAAAAUUUAAUACCCAUACGUAGUUUAGGGUGGUAGACCUUGCCACUGUUGACGUCAGGAAGGCGGGAGCUUCACCCUUCUAGUUGAUAUGCUGUGCCAAUUGCGCGACCUCUCUAUGGGAAGUAUAUUUGUUUCCUUUUUUCACUACUCUCUGGAAAGUAUUUUUUCUAGUGCAAUGCAAGUGGACAAGAAUCAAGUUGCUGUUUUUUUCGGAUUAAAACCAGCUGUUCGGACUGCUACAACUGCAAUAUAUAGAGAAAAAAUACUGUAGAUGAUAGAUGAAGAAAGUAAAAUUUAUAUAUGGAGUCUGUAAGAUGUACUUGGUAGCAUAAGUAGUAGAGAUAAUGCCUUUGAUCCUAUAUUAUAUACUUUCUAUAUUUUAUCAUUUGGUCAACAAUCAAUAAUUCAAGCAUAUCAACAUGAGAAAAUCCCUAUUUAACACUAGGCAAACUUAUCCUUCCCUAUUCAACACCGAAACUUAAAAUCUUCUCUAACUGUUACAGGUAGGGAGGAUUUUAAGUUUUGAUGUCAAAUAGGGAAACAAAAGUUUUUCUAUUGUCAAAUAGGAAAUUUUCACUAUCAACAUCGAUAUCUUUGGUCAAGUUAUAUUUAAGGGGGUGUUUAGGAGUGAAGUUGUUUUAUAGUUUUGGAAAAAUACUGCAUUAUUCUUAAAUACUGUAGUAUUAUAUACAUAAUGGUUUUUGGCAAGCUAGCUAAAGUCUCUGUUUU